CUGUGGUCCAUCAGCUAGUUGGUAGGGUAAUGGCUUACCAAGGCGAGGACGGAUAGGGGGCCUGAGAGGGUGACCCCCCACACGGGCACUGAGACACGGGCCCGACUCCUACGGGAGGCAGCAGUAAGGGAUAUUGCGACAAUGGGCGAAAGCCUGACGCAGCAACGCCGCGUGAAGGAUGAAGGCCUUCGGGUUGUAAACUUCUUUUCUGUGGGAAGAGGAAGGACGGUACCACAGGAAUAAGUCUCGGCUAACUACGUGCCAGCAGCCGCGGUAAAACGUAGGAGGCGAGCGUUAUCCGGAUUUACUGGGUGUAAAGCGCGUGCAGGCGGCAGCGAAAGUCGAGCGUGAAAGCUCCCGGCUCAACCGGGAGAGGACGUGCGAAACUACGCAGCUAGAGACAGGUAGAGGCGUACGGAAUUCCGGGUGUAGUGGUGAAAUGCGUAGAUAUCCGGAGGAACACCAGUGGCGAAGGCGGUACGCUGGGCCUGGUCUGACGCUAAGACGCGAAAGCAUGGGGAGCGAACGGGAUUAGAAACCCCCGGUAGUCCAUGCCGUAAACGAUGCUA
Molecule: ribosomal RNA, 569 nt
Filed under: uncultured organism
Description: bacterial SSU rRNA
Rfam family: Bacterial small subunit ribosomal RNA
Source: RNAcentral